Molecule: ribosomal RNA, 253 nt
Filed under: uncultured bacterium
Lineage: Bacteria
Description: partial 16S ribosomal RNA
Rfam family: Bacterial small subunit ribosomal RNA
Source: RNAcentral
UACGAAGGGGGCUAGCGUUGCUCGGAAUCACUGGGCGUAAAGGGCGCGUAGGCGGCUUGGUCAGUCCCGUGUGAAAUCCCUCGGCUCAACUGAGGAACUGCACGGGAAACUGCCUGGCUUGAGUUCGGGAGAGGGAAGCGGAAUUCCGGGUGUAGCGGUGAAAUGCGUAGAUACCCGGAGGAACACCGGUGGCGAAGGCGGCUUCCUGGACCGACACUGACGCUGAGGCGCGAAAGCGUGGGGAGCGAACAGG